This 2116-nucleotide ribosomal RNA is filed under the name Acrasis rosea. It matches the Rfam family "Eukaryotic small subunit ribosomal RNA". The record is from RNAcentral. Lineage: Eukaryota; Heterolobosea; Eutetramitea; Acrasida; Acrasidae.
UACUACAACCUGGUUGAUCCUGCCAGUAAUAUAUGCUUGUCUCAAAGAUUAAGCCAUGCACAUGUAAGAYCGGCAUAGGUUUCUACUUCGGUAGUCACUCAUUGUUAAUCUGUGAACGGCUCAUUAUAACAGUUAUACUCGUAGCCACUGGUACGUAGGCGCAAGCGAUAAGGAUAACAUUGUCAAAUGCAGCGAUAAUACUUGAUAGACGGACCGGUUCACGCCGGUUGGCAUUAGCGUACUUAUCUCACGAUCGUGAGGAAACCGCGCUACUGUGACUCUUGGCUAACUGUGGUUCUCCAUAAGUGGCCGGAGCGUCGACCAUCAGACGUGUGCAAACACACACGGUUCUUUAAAUAGGGUUUUAAUAAGGCUCUGUUUUUUUAGCUGUGCUGGUGGCCAGGAAGACGAAUUUCUUAUCUAUCAGCUGAAGUUGUCUCAAUAGGGGUGAGACACGGCGAUUACGGAUUCGGAGAAUCAGUGUUUGAUUCCGGAGAGGGAGCCUUAAAAAUGGCUACUACAUCUAAGGACGGCAGCAGGCGCGAAAAUUGCCCAAUCUCAAUUCGAGGAGGCAGUGACAAGAAAUAACAGCUCUCCACCAUCUGGUGGGAGGUACUAUUCAUAGUUUGGAAUGAUUUUAGAUUAAAAUUCUAUUAAAAAUGACUAGAGGAAGAGUCUGGUGCCAGCACCCGCGGUAAUUCCAGCUCUAGUAGCGUAUGUUAAUACUGUUGUAGUUAAAACGCUCGUAGUUGGCCUAAGGGCUAUGUGUUUUGUGUUCGGUGUCUGUUUAUCUCUAUGGGCUAACAUGUUAUAAUGUGAGCCUUGGAAGUAGACAUACUCCUUAAGUGACUAGUAAUCUCAUCGAAGUUUGCAGUCAUGGGCGCAUGUGCAUAGUCCGCUCUACGCCAAUGGUUCCAUUGGUGGUGGCAGUUUGAACAACUGUAAACAAAUCAGGGUGCUCAAAGCAGGCAUUGUUAGAGGCUUCUGUCUCGAUUUUGCUUGAAUGAUUUAGCAUGGGAUUGUCCUAUAGCUGUGUUUGGUUCCUGUCUUCGGGCAGGCUACCUUGCACUGGCGCUCGUAACGUGAGCAAGGGAGAGGGCUCUGGAACUAUAGUGCUAGAGGUGAAAUUUAGAUACCGCUAUAUGUCUAUCUGAUGCGAAGGCUGUUAUAGUCCAGUACAUUUCAAUCGAUCAGGAACGAAAGUUAGGGGAUCGAAGAUGAUUAGAUACCGUCGUAGUCCUAACUAUAAACGAUACCAACAAGAGAUUGGCAGUGAAACCAUUUAUGAUCCUUUCAGAAUCCAAGGGAAACCUCAAGUUUUUGGGUUCUGGGGGAGUUAUAGUCGCAAGGCCGAAACUUAAAGSAAUUGACGGAAAGGCACCACCAGGAGUGGAGUUUGCGGCUUAAUUCGACUCAACGCGGGAAAACUCACCAGGUCAGGACAAAGUAAUGAUUGACAGGUUGAUAGUCUUUUCUCGAUUCUUUGGAUGGUGGUGCAUGGCCGUUCUUAGUUCGUGGAGUGAUUUGUCUUGUUAAUUCAGUUAACGAACGAGACCUUAACCUACUAAAUAUGCUAUAAGCUGGGUCUUCUGAUUCAGUUCGUUUCUUCGAGUGCCUCGUAUGGGGUGCUCUCUGAAACUUAUAAACUGGGAUGUUAUCUUCUGAUAUCCUCUCUGCUUCUUAGAGGAACAAUACUUCGUUUUUUUAGAGUAAGGAAGUUUAAGGCAAUAACAGGUCUGUAAUGCCCCUAGAUGUCCUGGGCAGCACGCGUACUACACUGUUAAUACUAACAAGCUGUACAAAGUAACCACUCUUGUGGCUACUAGCCUUCUCCUUAAAGGAGUGGGGAAUCUUUUCAAACAUUAACGUGACAGGGAUAGCUGUUUGGAAAUCCAUCUUGAACGAGGAAUUCCUAGUAAUCGCGAUUCAUCAUAUCGCAUUGAUUACGUCCCUGCCUUUUGUACACACCGCCCGUCGCUCCUACCGAUGGAAUGAGCAGGUGAAUUUGACGGACAGGGCUUUUUUGUCUUGGAAAUUAACUGAACCUUUUUAUUUGUAGGAAGGAGAAGUCGUAACAAGGUCUUCGUAGGUGAACCUGCAGARGGAUCAUGAUGAU